This 496-nucleotide ribosomal RNA is filed under the name uncultured bacterium. RNAcentral describes it as "partial 16S ribosomal RNA". It matches the Rfam family "Bacterial small subunit ribosomal RNA", at positions 30 to 523 of the family's 1533-position model. The record is from RNAcentral.
AUUGAACGCUGGCGAAAUGCUUUACACAUGCAAGUCGAACGGUAGAGGGGGCAACCCCUCGAGAGUGGCGAACGGGUGAGUAAUAUAUCGGAACGUGCCCAGUCGUGGGGGAUAACGUAGCGAAAGUUACGCUAAUACCGCAUACGAUCUAAGGAUGAAAGCGGGGGAUCGCAAGACCUCGCGCGAUUGGAGCGGCCGAUGUCAGAUUAGGUAGUUGGUGGGGUAAAGGCUCACCAAGCCAACGAUCUGUAGCUGGUCUGAGAGGACGACCAGCCACACUGGAACUGAGACACGGUGCAGACUCCUACGGGAGGCAGCAGUGGGGAAUUUUGGACAAUGGACGCAAGUCUGAUCCAGCCAUUCCGCGUGCAGGAUGAAGGCCCUCGGGUUGUAAACUGCUUUUGUACGGAACGAAAAGGUCUCUCUUAAUACGGGGGACUCAUGACGGUACCGUAAGAAUAAGCACCGGCUAACUACGUGCCAGCAGCCGCGGUAA